GGAGAGAUGCGAGAGCGGCUGAAUCGGGCGGUCUCGAAAACCGUUAUACCGCAAGGUAUCGGGGGUUCGAAUCCCCCUCUCUCCG
Molecule: transfer RNA, 85 nt
Filed under: Teretinema zuelzerae
Lineage: Bacteria; Pseudomonadati; Spirochaetota; Spirochaetia; Treponematales; Treponemataceae
Also listed under: 2 other names
Description: tRNA-Ser
Rfam family: tRNA
About the family: Transfer RNA (tRNA) molecules are approximately 80 nucleotides in length. Their secondary structure includes four short double-helical elements and three loops (D, anti-codon, and T loops).
Source: RNAcentral